This 288-nucleotide ribosomal RNA is filed under the name Triticum aestivum (bread wheat). RNAcentral's name for it is "partial small subunit ribosomal RNA". Lineage: Eukaryota; Viridiplantae; Streptophyta; Magnoliopsida; Poales; Poaceae. The record is from RNAcentral.
AUGCAUCAAUUGAAGCUUGUGCGCAACAUGAGGGCUCCAAACGAUCCAUGGUUCACAGAAUACCUACUACGCAUUGGAAACGGAACCGAGGAGACAAAUGAUGAUGGUGAAAUACUUCUACCUACAAGUAUAUGUGUGCCAAAUAAGGCGGAUGAUAAUGGCCUUGAUAGACUCAUUGACAGUAUCUACCGACCUGCUUCCCUAAAAGAUCCAAAAUACAUCACGUCAAGGGCAAUUUUAUCCACAAGAAACGACUGUGUAGACAAAAUCAACCUACAAAUGAUUGAU